RNAcentral lists this small RNA (232 nucleotides) under Arabidopsis thaliana (thale cress). RNAcentral describes it as "ATSL233920". Lineage: Eukaryota; Viridiplantae; Streptophyta; Magnoliopsida; Brassicales; Brassicaceae. The record is from RNAcentral.
AUUUUACUUAUUUUUGUUGAACGGAAUUAAUUUUAUUGAACGGUUUAGAUUGAAUCGGAUCAUAUAAAGUUAAGUAGAUUGUUAAGACCAAAUUACCAUAAUGAUUUUGAAUAGCAAAGAACAAAAUCCAAAAUUAAAAUCAAAAUUAAGGCGAAAUUAAACAAAAUUUUAAUUUGUAUUUCCCUUUUAAUAAUAAAGAGAUUGACGUCAUCUUGAAUGUUUCAGUGUCAGC